UGUCGGUAUCGGACGCCAAGGGCCGUAACAAAAUGGCGGUGUUUGACGAGUUGGGGGAACGGUCUGUGAGAGCCGUGUGGAGGCAAUCCCAGACCACUUUUUAUUUCAAUAUUAAUUACAGCCACU
This is a long non-coding RNA of Etheostoma cragini (Arkansas darter), 126 nucleotides long. RefSeq lists it as uncharacterized. Lineage: Eukaryota; Metazoa; Chordata; Actinopteri; Perciformes; Percidae. The transcript has 3 exons. The record is from RefSeq and is a predicted model, not a curated record.